This is a long non-coding RNA of Alligator mississippiensis (American alligator), 4998 nucleotides long. RefSeq lists it as uncharacterized. Lineage: Eukaryota; Metazoa; Chordata; Crocodylia; Alligatoridae. The record is from RefSeq and is a predicted model, not a curated record. The transcript has 4 exons.
GGGGGCUUUAAACCUAGCCUUUUUUGUUCCUGUCUGUUGGCACAGCAGUCACAGUUAAGGUCAGGUGUCAGACCAGAUUUAAACCAUAACUGUCUAUUUCCUUGUUUUUGUGAGCUGAAGUUAGCUCCUUAUUGUGAUUUAAAUUGGUCACCAUAUACAAGGAGAGGAGGGGUUCAAUUAAGCUAUGAAACAAAGAAUAUGACUGCUUUCAGGGCACAAAUGCCUGCAUAUUUCCCUGUGUAUUGGUGAGAGGCUGAAAUUGUAGGAAGAUGCUAGAAGACCAGAGCUGCUGACGUGGUGCUAGUCUACAUCAAUAUUACAAAGUGGACAUGUUAGCAGCUGAGGAACUGCCGUGACCAUGACUGUGAAGGUGGAAGAACACUGAGACGGUGCAGGAGGAUUUUUCUUGACAUCCAAGAAGAUGCACUAUUAAGCAUGAGACAACAACCACAGGGAAGCUAUAUGGAUCUCAUGAAGAUUACUUCUGACCAGAGGCAGAAGCCACCAGGUGCUGCCAUGUUUGUGCUGUGGCUACUGGGAACACCCUUUUUAGAAGACAUUACCUCAGGGAUUUGUGAUGGUACCAGAAACAAUGAGCUCCAGUCGUAUAGCAUGAGGCUUGAAAGUCCUGCCAGGGGUUGUGAACACCACAGGGUGGCCAAUAUGAAACACUUCAGUCAUGUUCUGUGCUAAAGUGUAAUUACUGGAUGCAAGCAGAUCUCUAAUUUUAACCAGUCCAUUCCCCCACAGUUACUAUGGUGCCAGCAUUUCCUUUGUAAUGACUCCACUUUGCAGGAAUGCCUCAUUACCUAAAAAGAAAUCAUGCUCGGCUGCAGUCUAGAACACAGCAACAGAACAAAUUUACCUCAUUAAAAAGAUUGGCUCAGUCAUUUCUUUUUAAAUUAUACAAUGGAAAGCAGUUUUUAAAAGUCCACUUGCCCCCAUAUACUUCAAAAUAUAUCUUGAGUUAAACAGCCCUUUCUGGCAAUCAAGGUGCAAAGUAUAUACUGUGAUAACAUUUUCAUGCACCCUGAUGAAAUGGUACUCCAAGAUAUGACAGAACAUGUGUUCAGUUUUCAAAUGCGGAUGUUUAAAAUUAGAUCAUGUUAAACGUAGCAUAUAGACUUGUAAAUGGGCUUGAAGAUACCUAAACACCAUUUAUACAUCUAAAUACAAUUUUAAGCACCCAACUAUAGGGUACUAACAUUGAAGGCUGGACUUUCUCAUCUAAGGGAGAACCAGAAAGCAACAUGUUUAUGCAUUCGCCUAAAAGACCUGUCCUCAACUCUUGCCUGCAUUGCCCAUGGAACGAGAUGAGUAGUCUUCUCCUACUUUCUUGCAGCCGCUUAUGGACACACAACAGCCUCAGACAAAACUAUUUAUUUUCAAACCACUGAAAACCUUCACUUUAAAGGGAUUUACAGUCAUAAUAAGUAAUCUUCAGGCCAGGACUGAGAUGCUUCAGCAGAGCUGUGCAGGAGAAGCAUGGACAAAGCAAGUUAUUGUCAGUCCUAUAAUCUCUUUGUUUUCAAUAACUGCUCAUAUUUGCACAAAAAUUACAAAUAUUAGUGGCAAGUUGAAGGACAUAAUUCAGACAUUGCCCACUCCAUUCUCCCAUAACACCCUACCAGAAAAACUGGGAAAUGCCCAAGUCAUUUUUCUCAUCGAAUCAAGAUGACCAGCCUUUAUCUUUAUAUUGAUUGCCUCUUUUGUCCUGAGGUUCUUGCCUGAAGGACAUUUUAUUAAUGUAAAUUUGACUGAUGGGCUGAUACAUUUAUAUUCAUGAGAACUUAGUGGGCCCUAAGCAGAUUAGCAUUAGUUUACACUCCAAUUUUAUCAAUAAUAAUCAGGAAGAGGAGGGAUUAAUCAGAAACAGGCAAAUAGCUUCAGUCUUCUAAUCUCAUCAUAUCAAUGCUGUGCACUCAGCCCAACAAUGUGAACAGUGUAUACUGUGUGAUAGGCCAGCAACCAUAACGAUUUUUCAAGCCCAUGUUUAGUAUUUCAUUGAUGCUGCCUGUACACCCAUUUGCCACAAAUGUACUUUUACUUGAAGCAGCAUACAUGGCAAUUAAGGAAUUAGUUUAAUGGGAUAAUGGAAUAAUAAACUGUGCUUUGAGCAUUGCCAUGCUCUGUGCUACAAUAGCUGCACCCCAGUUGCACCACCCUGUGACACAUGAACAGCAGAUUUCCCUACCAUAGAUGCACAGGUAAAAAUCAGAAAACAAAAUGUCCUGAAAUCGUUGUUCACAGCAAGUUUCAUUUCAGAAGUAAGGAUGGUACAGACCAAAAAAAGCGUAAUAUAAUUUGUUUUGCCUAUUAGCAGCAAUGACCGGGUUGUUAUAUGUGCUCCGGGGUGUAUGGAGGAAGGAGAGGUGCUUUAACUAGAGAGGUUCUUGGGAGCCACUCUAAUUAAAGCGCCUGCAGUGUCUCAUCUAUUCAGCAUCCUGCGCUUCAAAAUGGUGGUGGUGGCACUUUGACUAAAGCUUGUUUGACAAGUUUUAAUUAAGGCACCACUGCCACCAUUUUGAACUGCAGGGACGCUGAAUACAUGUGAUGCCAAGGCGGCUGGAACAUGCUAAUUAGCACACUCCAUACUCCAGCAGACUAAAUUAAUUGAGUCUGCUCCAACACACUCUAAUUAGAACGUUCUAAUUAGAAUAUGUUGGAGCAGGCUGUCGUGCGAUAGGCAUGGGUAUAGGCGCCCAAUGUGUCAAAGUAGCUGGAUCUACACCAGACUCUGAUGCAAAAGCUUACACAUUGCAAAGCUAUAUGUACCACUCCAUGGACAAUACCAAUGUUUGGAGCACUAAUAUAGAUAAUGGAAUGAUAUUUUUAAUGCUUAGGCCAGGUCCUAUUACAAUUUAGAGUACCUAAAUGUGAUCCUAUUCCAGCCUGCUUGAAUCCCUGAAAAACUAUUAAUACAGAAGGUGGGUGGAUCCUUUUUCUCCCCUCCUCGUUCUGUUGUGAUGUAGUCCUAAGAUGAAGAUAACAGCAUGAUACAAAAAUAGAUGCAUUAAUGGAUUUUCCGGAUCUUAAAUAGGGUGGAAUAGGAUUGCAUUGAGGAGCUUGUCCACUUAGAAUAUGGGCCCUGGUUUUCUAAUCUUGCUUAGAGCAAGUCCAGAGAACAUGGUGAAAAUAUCUGCUACUGCCAGAAUGGUUUCACAUUAGGGUUGGGGAUUUGACUGGUCAAAUAAUGUUUGGUUAAUUGACCAGUCAAAUAUUGGUAAAAAAUUAUUUAAAAUUGCCAGGAGGCCCAAAUGAUACAAAUUUUCUAUUAAGAAAUGUGUCAAAAACUAUUUUAAAAAUCAUAUUUCUGUCAAGAAAACUACCAAAAAUGUAGGUCUUUUUGUAAAAUUGCUAUAAUCUUUGACCAGUCAAAAAAUAUGCAGUCAAUUGACUGAUCAAUUGACAAUAUUUGCCCGGUCAACUGUCUGGCUUGCCAGCCCUAUUUCACAUUAUAAAGUAAAAAUUUAAAUUGUGGCCAUGCUUAGUGACAUCAAGGAUCCCAGUCAUUGCUAUCACUGCUGAUAGUGCAACAGCAGGAGAUUUCUCAAGUAAAAAUGAAGAAGGCUGCAAGUCAAUCUUCAAUGAAUUUGUUUUUUUCUCAGAAGAGAUGUUUAUAUAUCUACCACAAUAUGUUUAGUUUUUAAAAUUAAGUUAGCACCCAGUCCUACUCUUGUUGAAGCCAAUGGGAAUGGAAUUGUUUCCUUAGUGUUUAAACCAUUGCCCUUGCUUGAGAUGAGUCUGACCAUUGUACAGGGAAAGCAUGCACAAAACCUAACAAACACUAUUAUUUCUUCACAAUCUUGCACAGGAAACAGAAUCAAGUUUUUAUGCUCUUGCAGUCUGACACCAACAAAGUGAUUUCUCAGCCCCCCUAACAAGAUUUGACGUCAGCUUGCUGCUGUUUAACUUCCUCAUGGGAGUUUCUUUUACUUGCAAAUAUACAUUAUAUUAUAAUCACAGUGCUACACUGCAAAGAGAAUAGUGGGCUUGUUUUGAGAUGCUUCCUGUCAGAGUUGUAACAGUGCCCAGGGUUAGCAAUGGUGUGAGUUGUACCACAGCCAACAUCUAGGCAGCUGCCUGUUCUUCUACCACUACAUAAAUCUGAAACCUCUGAGCAGAGUUAAAUGUUACAUAGUGGUAAAAAUGCUGACGUCAGAUCUGUACUAGGCCUUACAUGGCUGCCACCACUCAUGGAAUAGGAGGACCAGGGGUUGCGAAAUGGGGUAAAAUAAAGACCAAAUUCUUGCACAUACGCAGCCUACCUAACCUCAAUGAAUGCAGUCUGUGACACUGUAGUGAAGUUGCAACUGCUUCAAACUACUAUGCAUUCUUAAACCAGACAUGAUUUGCCAACGAUGCCUCUUCCAAAUGAGUGGCUACAUAUUGCAUUAGCAUUCCCAGAUGCCCUGCCUCAGCUCAGGAAGCCUGGGGGUAAAAAAAAAUAUCCAGGAAGCUCUGGGAUGUUCUUAUGCCUCAGAGAACUACAGUGCAAAUCACACUAAUUGUUUGUUAGAUGAACAAUAAUCACUAAUUAACAUUGUUAAAAUGUCAUCAAUGAUCACUAAUUAACAUUGUUAAAAUUUGUUAACAAAGGAAAUUUAGCAAUAUUUUAAUUAGGAAGGAUUUCUAAUUUGUGAUAUACAGCAUGUUAGACAAACAAGGCACAACUCUCCCUUUGUUUCUCAGCUCUGCAGCAGGAGAGAUUACAUGAUAUGACACAAUACAUUCUGCAUUUGCCAUUUAUCAUUCUAUAUCUUUUACACACUUGUGCUGUAUAAUUAGUGCCCAGGCUAAUUUUACCUGUGUUAUUGUUUGCCCUGUAAUUUGGAGAGAAUAGGCCAUGCUGAUGCUAUAUGAUUUAGUCUGGGGCAAUCAGCUGGCUUUUUGCCACAAGACUUCUGCUUACAUGUGACUGCAAUAAAGUACAUACACUGUAACAUAAAGAGAACCUUUCAGUGUCUUAAUUUAGUUAAUUAUAUGGUAGGAGAUAAG